Acanthosepion pharaonis is the source of this 114-nucleotide non-coding RNA. NCBI's taxonomy places the organism in Eukaryota, Metazoa, Mollusca, Cephalopoda, Sepiida, Sepiidae. The record is from the annotation of a GenBank genome assembly.
UUGCAGCCAUAUCAAGUUGAAAUACCCGUUAUCGUCGAAUCGCUAAAGUUAAGCAACCUCGAGCCUGGUCAGUACUUAGGUGGGUGACCGACUGGGAAAAACAAGUGCUGUAAG